UGCCAGCCGCCGCGGUAAUACGAAGGGUGCUAGCGUUGUUCGGAAUUACUGGGCGUAAAGAGCAUGUAGGCGGAUGAAUUAGUCAGAGGUGAAAGCCCCGAGCUCAACUUGGGAACUGCCUUGUAAACUCCUGGUCUUGAGUUCGAGAGAGGUGAGUGGAAUUCCGAGUGUAGAGGUGAAAUUCGUAGAUAUUCGGAGGAACACCAGUGGCGAAGGCGGCUCACUGGCUCGAUACUGACGCUGAGGUACGAAAGUGUGGGGAGCAAACAGGAUUAGAUA
Molecule: ribosomal RNA, 279 nt
Filed under: uncultured bacterium
Lineage: Bacteria
Description: partial 16S ribosomal RNA
Rfam family: Bacterial small subunit ribosomal RNA
Source: RNAcentral